GCUACGGGUGGCUGCAGUGGGGAAUAUUGCGCAAUGGGCGAAAGCCUGACGCAGCGACGCCGCGUGAGGGAUGAAGGUCUUCGGAUCGUAUACCUCUGUCAGCAGGGAAGAACGGUCACUGUGCUAAUCAGCAGUGAAUUGACGGUACCUGCAAAGGAAGCACCGGCUAACUCCGUGCCAGCAGCCGCGGUAAGACGGAGGGUGCGAGCGUUAAUCGGAAUUACUGGGCGUAAAGCGCUCGUAGGCGGGAUGUCAAUUCAAGGGUGAAAUCCCCGCGCUCAACGUGGGAACUGCCUUUGAAACUGUCGAAUGGGAGUGUGUGAGAGGAUAGUGAAAUUCCAGGUGUAGGAGUGAAAUCAGUAGAUAUCUGGAGGAACAUCAGUGGCGAAGGCGACGAUCUGGCACAUAACUGACGCUGAGGAGCGAAAGCGUGGGUAGCAAACAGGAUUAGAUACCCUGGUAGUC
This 465-nucleotide ribosomal RNA is filed under the name uncultured bacterium. RNAcentral's name for it is "partial 16S ribosomal RNA". It matches the Rfam family "Bacterial small subunit ribosomal RNA", at positions 338 to 795 of the family's 1533-position model. The record is from RNAcentral.